CUACGUGCCAGCAGCCGCGGUAAUACGGAAGGUCCAGGCGUUAUCCGGAUUUAUUGGGUUUAAAGGGAGCGUAGGCGGACGAUUAAGUCAGCUGUGAAAGUUUGCGGCUCAACCGUAAAAUUGCAGUUGAAACUGGUUGUCUUGAGUGCACGCAGGGAUGUUGGAAUUCAUGGUGUAGCGGUGAAAUGCUUAGAUAUCAUGAAGAACUCCGAUCGCGAAGGCAUAUGUCUGGAGUGCAACUGACGCUGAGGCUCGAAAGUGCGGGUAUCGAACAGGAUUAGAUACCCUGGUAGUCCGCACAGUAAACGAUGAAUACUCGCAGUGUGCGAUAUACUGUAUGCUGCCAAGUGAAAACGUUAAGUAUUCCACCUGGGGAGUACGCCGGCAACGGUGAAACUCAAAGGAAUUGACGGGGGCCCGCACAAGCGGAGGAACAUGUGGUUUAAUUCGAUGAUACGCGAGGAACCUUACCCGGGCUUGAAC
This 483-nucleotide ribosomal RNA is filed under the name uncultured bacterium. RNAcentral's name for it is "bacterial SSU rRNA". It matches the Rfam family "Bacterial small subunit ribosomal RNA", at positions 501 to 986 of the family's 1533-position model. The record is from RNAcentral.